AACGAACGCUGGCGGCAGGCCUCAAACAUGCAAGUCUAGGGGGUAGCAAUACCACCGGCGGACGGGUGCGUAACGCGUGGGAACAUACCUUUCGGUACGGAACAACCCAGGGAAACUUGGGCUAAUACCGUAUACGCCCUUACGGGGAGAGAUUUAUCGCCGAAGGAUUGGCCCGCGUUCGAUUAGCUAGUUGGUGAGGUAAAGGCUCACCAAGGCUACGAGCGAUAGCUGUUCUGAGAGGAAGAUCAGCCACACUGGGACUGAGACACGGCCCAGACUCCUACGGGAGGCAGCAGUUGGGAAUUUUGGACAAUGGGGGAAACCCUGAUCCAGCCAUGCCGCGUGAGUGAUGAAGGCCUUCGGGUUGUAAAACUCUUUCGACGGGGACGAUAAUGACGGUACCCGUAGAAGAAGCUCCGGCUAACUUCGUGCCAGCAGCCGCCGUAA
Molecule: ribosomal RNA, 447 nt
Filed under: uncultured bacterium
Lineage: Bacteria
Description: partial 16S ribosomal RNA
Rfam family: Bacterial small subunit ribosomal RNA
Source: RNAcentral